AGAGUUUGAUCCUGGCUCAGGAUGAACGCUAGCUACAGGCUUAACACAUGCAAGUCGAGGGGAAACGACAUCGAAAGCUUGCUUUUGAUGGGCGUCGACCGGCGCACGGGUGAGUAACGCGUAUCCAACCUGCCCAUCACUUGGGGAUAACCUUGCGAAAGUAAGACUAAUACCCAAUGACGUCUCUAGAAGACAUCUGAAAGAGAUUAAAAGAUUUAUCGGUGAUGGAUGGGGAUGCGUCUGAUUAGCUUGUUGGCGGGGUAACGGCCACCAAGGCGACGAUCAGUAGGGGUUCUGGAGAGGAAGGUCCCCCANAUUGGAACUGAGACGCGGUCCAAACUCCUACGGGAGGCA
RNAcentral lists this ribosomal RNA (354 nucleotides) under uncultured bacterium. RNAcentral describes it as "bacterial SSU rRNA". It matches the Rfam family "Bacterial small subunit ribosomal RNA", at positions 8 to 350 of the family's 1533-position model. The record is from RNAcentral.